RNAcentral lists this ribosomal RNA (460 nucleotides) under uncultured bacterium. RNAcentral describes it as "partial 16S ribosomal RNA". It matches the Rfam family "Bacterial small subunit ribosomal RNA", at positions 338 to 795 of the family's 1533-position model. The record is from RNAcentral.
CCUACGGGAGGCAGCAGUGAGGAAUAUUGGUCAAUGGGCGCGAGCCUGAACCAGCCAAGUAGCGUGAAGGAUGACUGCCCUACGGGUUGUAAACUUCUUUUAUAUAGGAAUAAAGCGAUGCACGUGUGGCUUUUUGUAUGUACUUUAUGAAUAAGGAUCGGCUAACUCCGUGCCAGCAGCCGCGGUAAUACGGAGGAUCCGAGCGUUAUCCGGAUUUAUUGGGUUUAAAGGGAGCGUAGAUGGGUUGUUAAGUCAGUUGUGAAAGUUUGCGGCUCAACCGUAAAAUUGCAGUUGAAACUGGCAGCCUUGAGUACAGUUGAGGUAGGCGGAAUGCGUGGUGUAGCGGUGAAAUGCAUAGAUAGCGCGAAGAACUCCGAUUGCGAGGGCAGUGUACCGGAGUCGGACUGACACUGAGGCACGAAAGCGUGGGUAUCGAACAGGAUUAGAUACCCGUGUAGUC